AAGCUAUACUUUCAGGGAUCAUUUCUAUAGUUUCUAACUUGAGAAAUGUGUUUCUAAAGUGUUUGGUCUCGCCAACCACUGAUGAGUUGUGAUAUUCCUUCUGAGCGUGAAGCUGACAGAGAGUAAUGAUUCACUUCAUAUGUUUCUGUCAUUGAUGAUUUUUCUUACUUCCUGUGGAGUAUUGAGGAAGGGAAUAUGAUCAGAGUGGU
Molecule: small nucleolar RNA, 209 nt
Filed under: Larimichthys crocea (large yellow croaker)
Lineage: Eukaryota; Metazoa; Chordata; Actinopteri; Sciaenidae
Description: Small nucleolar RNA U3 (ENSLCRG00005021996.1)
Rfam family: Small nucleolar RNA U3
About the family: Small nucleolar RNAs (snoRNAs) are involved in the processing and modification of rRNA in the nucleolus. There are two main classes of snoRNAs: the box C/D class, and the box H/ACA class.
Source: RNAcentral